UACGGGGGGGGCAAGCGUUGUUCGGAAUUACUGGGCGUAAAGAGCGCGCAGGCGGUCGUCCAAGUCGCGUGUGAAAGCCCCCGGCUCAACUGGGGAGGGUCACGCGAUACUGGUCGACUCGAAGGCAGGAGAGGGUAGUGGAAUUCCCGGUGUAAUGGUGAAAUGCGUAGAUAUCGGGAGGAACACCAGUGGCGAAGGCGACUACCUGGCCUGUUCUUGACGCUGAGGCGCGAAAGCUAGGGGAGCAAACGGGG
Molecule: ribosomal RNA, 254 nt
Filed under: uncultured bacterium
Lineage: Bacteria
Description: partial 16S ribosomal RNA
Rfam family: Bacterial small subunit ribosomal RNA
Source: RNAcentral